AAUUCACUAGUGAUUUUGGAGGGCAAGUCUGGUGCCAGCAGCCGCGGUAAUUCCAGCUCCAAUAGCGUAUAUUAAAGUUGUUGCAGUUAAAAAGCUCGUAGUUGAAUUUCGGGAUCAAUAUGCUGGUCGUGCCAUUGGUACGUACUAGUAUUAUUGGUUUCUUCCUUCUGAUGAAUCAUGAUGUCAUUAAGUUGAUGUCAUGGGGAAUCAGGACUGUUACUUUGAAAAAAUUAGAGUGUUUAAAGCAGGCUCGCGCUUGAAUACAUUAGCAUGGAAUAAUGAAAUAGGACGUUUGAUUCUAUUUUGUUGGUUUCUAGGAUUGACGUAAUGAUUAAUAGGGAUAGUUGGGGGCAUUAGUAUUCAAUUGUCAGAGGUGAAAUUCUUGGAUUUAUUGAAGACUAACUACUGCGAAAGCAUUUGCCAAGGAUGUUUUCAUUAAUCAAGAACGAAGGUUUGGGGAUCGAAGACGAUCAGAUACCGUCGAAGUCUUAACCAUAAACUAUGCCGACUAGGGAUCGGAUGAUGUUAAUUUUUUAAUGACUCAUUCGGCGCCUUACGGGAAACAAUC
Molecule: ribosomal RNA, 568 nt
Filed under: uncultured Glomus
Lineage: Eukaryota; Fungi; Glomeromycota; Glomeromycetes; Glomerales; Glomeraceae
Description: SSU rRNA
Rfam family: Eukaryotic small subunit ribosomal RNA
Source: RNAcentral